UGUGUGUGAGAUGUAUGUGUACACAUUUCCUAGAGUCUUGCUGGCUGCUCUGACUGACUAUUUCUCUCAAUAGCAGGUCAGCAGCAAGCACAUAUGCUGCUGGGUUAGAUAAAAUCAGCAACAGAUAGGAAAGAAAAAUAGCCAUUCCCUGGGUCACUCAGGGUUGUGAGCCUUGGGAGAGAUGUCAACAUUCAUAUUUGAACCCUAUUGACUCACUAACAACGUAUUGUCUCACAGCCUUUCAAAGAUGAUCCUGAGACUAUAUGGUAAAAAGCUACAAGAAAGCUCCAAGAAGAAACAUGAGGCAAAUGUGACACCUACUGGCUGGCUGAGGUCCAUGCAGAAAGCAGUCAUCCCAAACCCAGACAAAUCCCUAAAGCAUCCUCUGGCAACUGUCACCCUCUUGCAAGUGAAGUCUACUGUCAAGGAAAUAGAGAUCUGGACAAAGCAGGCAAAGUUAGGAAGGAACGCAGCAAGAGCAGACAGAUGAGGCAGCAUCAGCAUCGGUCCUAGGAAGCAGGCCCCCAGUGAUGUCCUCAGAUGUAUCAUCUGUGCAGAGAAUUUUCUUCUGCACUGCAGGAGCUGUAGAUUACCAUGCCGACAUGGGCAAAUCCAAGAACCACACUACACACAACCAGUCCCACAAAUGGCUCAGAAAUGGUGUCAAGAAACCCCAGCCACAAAGAUACGAAUGUCUUAAGGUGGUUGACCCUAGGAACAUGCUCUUUGCCAAGAAGCACAAGAAAGGCUUGAAGAAGAUGCAGGCCAACAAUGCGCAGAAGCCAUCAUCAAGGCCCUUGUGAAGCCUCAGGCCAUCAAGCCCAAGAUGCCAAAGGGCCCCAGUCGCAAACUCAGCCGUCUGGCUCUCGUCGCUCACCCCAAGCUUGGGAAGCAGAUUCAAAGGUACAUGGCCAAGGGUCGUAGACUCUGCCAACCAAAGCCCAAGGUUCAAACCAAGGCAGAGGCCACAGC
Grammomys surdaster is the source of this 972-nucleotide long non-coding RNA. RefSeq lists it as uncharacterized. Lineage: Eukaryota; Metazoa; Chordata; Mammalia; Rodentia; Muridae. The transcript is spliced from 3 exons. The record is from RefSeq and is a predicted model, not a curated record.